ACGGGGAGCACACAACAGGUGGAGCCUGCGGUUUAAUCGGACUCAACGCCGGGAAACUCACCAGAUAAGACAGCUGAAUGAUAGUCGGGCUGAAGACUCUACUUGACUAGCUGAGAGGAGGUGCAUGGCCGUCGUCAGUUCGUACUGUGAAGCAUCCUGUUAAGUCAGGCAACGAGCGAGACCCACGCCAACAGUUGCCAGCUCGUCCUCCGGGAUGGUGGGGACACUGUUGGGACCGCCUCUGCUAAAGAGGAGGAAGGAAUGGGCAACGGUAGGUCAGCAUGCCCCGAAUUAUCUGGGCUACACGCGGGCUACAAUGGGUGGGACAAUGGGUAUCGACACCGAAAGGUGAAGGCAAUCUCCUAAACCCAUCCGUAGUUCGGAUUGUGGGCUGCAACUCGCCCACACGAAGCUGGAAUCUGUAGUAAUCGUGUCUCAAAAUGGCACGGUGAAUAUGUCCCUGCUCCUU
This 469-nucleotide ribosomal RNA is filed under the name uncultured Methanomicrobiales archaeon. RNAcentral describes it as "bacterial SSU rRNA". It matches the Rfam family "Archaeal small subunit ribosomal RNA", at positions 871 to 1337 of the family's 1478-position model. The record is from RNAcentral. Lineage: Archaea; Methanobacteriati; Methanobacteriota; Methanomicrobia; Methanomicrobiales.